Canis lupus familiaris (dog) is the source of this 2840-nucleotide long non-coding RNA. RefSeq lists it as uncharacterized. Lineage: Eukaryota; Metazoa; Chordata; Mammalia; Carnivora; Canidae. The record is from RefSeq and is a predicted model, not a curated record. The transcript is spliced from 4 exons.
UUCUGGGUUUCCACUCUCCAAGAAGGAAAGACAGAUUUUUAUUUGCAUUCAUCUGGACAAUGUGUGUGCUUUAAAAUUUCCAUAGCUCUACCACUGCUUGUGAACUGUGAAGUGUCUGGAAGCUCAAGCGGUACCUGGAUCUACAGAGCUGUGCUUCUGGUUGAAAAUGAAGAAAAGCUUCCAACAAAGAUCAGAGGGCAAAUUGGGUGAUUUUGAAACUUAACAGGUCUUCUUAUUGCAAACUCCUCAGGAAAGAGAAGGGGCCAGCAAAGUGGAGAAAUGAGGGCACAGCCGAAAUUAGGCAAGGGGUGUCGGGAGGUAGAAAUCAAAUCUAUUUAAAUUUCACAAAAUCAGAAUGUAUAAAGUGAACCUAGCCACCACUAGUGUUGCUCAAAUUCCAUUCUGAGACUUAGUCAUUAAUAUUUAGCAUUUUUUGUGAUUAUUUUAUAGACAUGAUGUCAUUGUUUCAGAGUGUUUUACUAAUCACCAAUGACACAGUUGCCAGAGAGCAAAGUUACAAUGUAGUGAUGUUAUGAGUGGAAAAUGCUGCAAUUGUGGUGGGGAUGGGGGUGGGGAGAGAGAAGUUCAGAUUAAGUUCAAGGCAUUUCACUUGGAUUUUCUGGGUGAACCAAAUCUAGACUUCUCGGGGGGUUCUACAUCUUAGAACCAUGUUUAGAAACUCCCCGUUUUAUUGUUUUAAAAAAAUACCUAUAAAAGUUAAAGCUUCUGAAAUGGGGAUCUUGGGGAAAGGGAAUAAAACCACAGACAUUCCAGCAAAAACAACCUUCUUCUUUUUGACAACUCCAGGUUUAGACAUUCCUUAGGUUUAUUACCACAAAGCAGACCAGGCUGGCAAAGGAGCCAGCAGGCCCCGCGGUCCUUCUGUGCAGCGCGCUUGCAACAGCUGCUCUGACUAACGCACCUCCCGGGGGUGAUGGAUGUGCCCACUGCCGGGGAAGACCCAGGCGGAUGCAGAUGUUGCUGCAUGAGGAGAAGGACUCUCUGUUCCUGUUUUCCUAGCCCUGGGGAUCACGAGGAGAUUUAAUUAUACUGGACUUUCUCUCCACUCAUCAGCAGAAAAGUGCAGAAUAAAUAGACGCACUUGAAUAGAGAUUACAGAAACUCUGAAAUAAAGCAAACACCAGCUACAGAGCAACUUCUGCCUCAAGAAACCCCUCCUUUCAGAUGUUUGCAAUUGUGAUAGCAGGACAGGGAAUAUUCUUCAAGCAUGUAGCAGUGAAUAGUUGGGCUUCAGCCUGUAUUUUUCUCACUUCCCAGGAUCUCAGUGAAGAAAAUCAAGUCUCCAAUAAUCCAGAUGGCCACUGAAUGUCCAGUAUGAGUCCAACCCAGUGAGCCUUUCGGACCUGUGUCCCUCAGACUGCUGUGGGCACCUCAGAUUCUGUUCCCAUUAUUCCUCUCUAUAUGAGCCUUUUUAUUCAAACAUAAAAGGUUCCCCCCCCCCGAUACUGCUUUAUUAGGAGUAGGGUGUAGUAUUUUUAAACCACAGAGGUUUGUAGCAACUUGGAUGUUCAGGCAACAAUUCAGAAGGGCAGCUUGUAGAGAAGAACCUCACUGUGCACAGUAACUGCCAGGAAAAUUCUAGAGAAAAUGAGGAGACUACCCGCCAGAUAGCAAACUAUAUUGCAAAGCUACAGAAAUUAAUAUAUUCUCAAACAGAGAAAAAUAAAGAAUCCAGAACCAGAACUAAAUAGCAAGUAAUGACUUGUAAUUGAUAAAGGGGACAUUUAAUACCAGUGGAGAAAAGCUGGCUUAUUCAAUAAAUGGUAUUGGCCGUGUCACUCCCUCAUCAAAAUAAAUUCCAGAUGAACCUUUAAGCACUUAAACAUGAACCAUAAAAGUGCUAAAAUAAAUCAUGAAAGAAUUUUUUAUAAUCUUGGAAAGGGAAGCUUUUAUAAACAUAACACAAAUCCAGAAGCCAUUGAAAACAUUAAAAAAAAAUCUGUAUGACACAAUGCCAUUAAUGAAGUAUUAACUAUACCAAAAAUGUGGUGAGACAAGAUAUGGCUUUUAUUUCCUUCAUGAAAAAGCUCCUCUAAAUUGUUUUUUAAACAAGCAAAACCCAAGAGAAAAACAACAUAACAGAGAGAUUACAAAAAAGAGAAAUACAAAUGGCUCAAAGAUAUAAAAAGAUUAUUAACUUCCCUCGGAAGAUAAGAAAUACAAAUUAGAACUGUAACCUAAUGUUACUCUCAGAUUAGCAAAACUCAAAAAAAAAUUGAUAAUACAAAGACAAGGGAGCCCUCCUUUCACUAUCAAUAAGAAGAGAAAAACACAGGCUGUGAAGUAUACUUGGAAGACAGCUCCUAAAAUUCAAAAUGCACAUUUUCAGUGACCAGAAGAUUCUACUUCCAGGAAUUUGUGCUACUGAGAUAUUCCUCAUAACAUUGACCCAAGAAAAAUCACAGCAGUAUUUUUUUAAACAUCAGAAGAUUGGAAACAAGCUAAAUAUUCAUCAAUAGGGGACUUACUAAAGAAAGGAAAAACGGUCUAUCUGUAAAUGGUAUUUUAUGCCUCCAUUAGAAAGGAAGAGGCAGCAGCUUUAGAAUAAACUUGAAGCUCCAGAAAGGGAACAAAAUAAAGGUUCAGAACUAUAGGAAUUCACCAUCUAUAAUAAAGGAGGAACAUGUCUCCAAAUGUGUUUGCAUAUGCAUAAAACAUUCCUGAAAAUGUCUAAGACAGACCUAGACACCAAUGGUGGCCGAUCUCAGGGAGAAAAACUGGGUGUCUGAGGUUAUGGGUGGUGGGAGGAUUAUUUCACUCUUUUCUGUUUAGAACCCAUGGGAUUUUGUACAAAGUCCAUUUAUUACAUGUCCCCUAAG